AUACGGAGGAUCCAAGCGUUAUCCGGAAUCAUUGGGUUUAAAGGGUCCGUAGGUGGGUAAUUAAGUCAGAGGUGAAAUCCUGCAGCUCAACUGUAGCAUUGCCUUUGAUACUGGUUAUCUUGAGUUAUUAUGAAGUAGUUAGAAUAUGUAGUGUAGCGGUGAAAUGCAUAGAUAUUACAUAGAAUACCGAUUGCGAAGGCAGAUUACUAAUAAUAUACUGACACUGAGGGACGAAAGCGUGGGGAGCGAACAGGAUUAGAAACCCUAGUAGUCC
This 274-nucleotide ribosomal RNA is filed under the name uncultured bacterium. RNAcentral describes it as "partial 16S ribosomal RNA". It matches the Rfam family "Bacterial small subunit ribosomal RNA", at positions 523 to 796 of the family's 1533-position model. The record is from RNAcentral.